RNAcentral lists this long non-coding RNA (242 nucleotides) under Oryza brachyantha (malo sina). Its description in RNAcentral is "long non-coding RNA (OBRA_LNC003387)". The record is from RNAcentral. Lineage: Eukaryota; Viridiplantae; Streptophyta; Magnoliopsida; Poales; Poaceae.
GGGCAGAGGAGGGCGGCGGCAUCCGGCGCGGAGGGCGGCGAAGGACGGUGGUUCUGCGGCGGCGAUGGCGGGGCGAUGGAGACGGCCCCGAGAGGGUGCGUCGGCGGCGGCAAACGGCGCGUGCGCGACGGCGACACAUCCGUCGACGACGGCGGCCGAAGGGGAGGGAAAGGGGAAAGGGAUGCUCACCGGCGGCGCGAAGGGCGGCAGCAAGUCGGCGCCGAACGGGGAUGGGUGAUGAC